GGACAACUUCAGAUCUGAGGCGACAGGCUCCUGUACAAGAAGGCCAGAAACACAUUGACAAAGGAGAGCAGAGUAGCAAAGAGGAGCUACUCUGAUAGGUUGAAAAAACAAUGCUCAGCCAACGAUCCUGUGACAGUGUGGAGAGGUCUUCAGCAUGCCACCAACUACAGGAGACCAUCCCUUCACCCUGUGGGGAACCCCAGACUGGCUGAGAAACUGAACCUGUUUUACAC
Thalassophryne amazonica is the source of this 233-nucleotide long non-coding RNA. RefSeq lists it as uncharacterized. The transcript has 3 exons. The record is from RefSeq and is a predicted model, not a curated record. Lineage: Eukaryota; Metazoa; Chordata; Actinopteri; Batrachoidiformes; Batrachoididae.